Molecule: ribosomal RNA, 357 nt
Filed under: uncultured bacterium
Lineage: Bacteria
Description: partial 16S ribosomal RNA
Rfam family: Bacterial small subunit ribosomal RNA
Source: RNAcentral
CCUACGGGCGGCAGCAGUGAGGAAUAUUGGUCAAGGGACGCAAGUCUGAACCAGCCAUGCCGCGUGCAGGAAGAAGGCUCUAUGAGUUGUAAACUGCUUUUGUACGAGGGUAAACGCAGAUAGGCGUAUCUGCCUGAAAGGAGCGUACGAAUAAGGAUCGGCUAACUCCGUGCCAGCAGCCGCGGUAAUACGGAGGAUUCAAGCGUUAUCCGGAUUGAUUGGGUUUAAAGGGUGCGGAGGCGGUCGGAUAAGUUAGAGGUGAAAUCCCGAGGGUUCACUUCGGAAUUGCCUCUGAUACUGUUAGGCUAGAGUGUAGUUGCGGUAGGCGGAAUGUAUGGUGUAGCGGUGCUAUGCUUA